Molecule: long non-coding RNA, 573 nt
Organism: Anopheles stephensi (Asian malaria mosquito)
Lineage: Eukaryota; Metazoa; Arthropoda; Insecta; Diptera; Culicidae
Exons: 3
Source: RefSeq, a predicted model, not a curated record
CCUUGUUUACGUUUCUUCUGUUUCGUGUGUUCCAUGUGUGUGCGGAAGAAAAGGUUCGCUCAUUGUACGCGUUCCUACCACUACACUGACAAACGCGUGUUUGACAGUACUGAGCAAAACAAAACCCGCGUACGAUCGCAGCAACACAUGAAUACGGAAAGUGAAUAUUCAUCUGGUGUUCGCACAACAAGGUGAAAAGGUAUAGUUUGGAAGCAUUUUUGUGUGUGUUAAAUAGAGGUGGAAUAUUAGAAGAGAGUUUUGAUGUGUCCAGUGGUGGAAAUAGAAAGAGUUUCGACAGUCUUUGGAGUUGGCGGUCCCAUGACUCGAGAGCCCAUGCGAGAGGCUACGGCCUAUAGAUAAAGGUAAAAUCGAAAGUGACCGCACGGCUCGGAAGUAGCAUGAGUUCGGAGCUGCCGGGGCCGGUGAACGGGCCGGCGUAUUAUCGGCUUGAAUCAACGUGUGUGAAAGACGCAACGAAGAAAGAUGGCUGAACAGCAGAUUAAUGCUCCUGUUUCACACGCCAAGAAUAUACCGGGUUUUUGUUCAACCUAACAAUACUGCUCCUCCCAAAAG